This is a long non-coding RNA of Bolinopsis microptera, 1197 nucleotides long. RefSeq lists it as uncharacterized. The transcript is spliced from 6 exons. Lineage: Eukaryota; Metazoa; Ctenophora; Tentaculata; Lobata; Bolinopsidae. The record is from RefSeq and is a predicted model, not a curated record.
UCGUUUAAAACUAGAAUUAGUUGAUGAAGGAGCAUAAUGCAGAUCAUACGUUGUACGUGUACGUGGUGUGAUCAUUAUAAUUUCGCGCUAUUUCUUGUUUCUACACUCGCUUUGAACUUUGGCUUUAACAGCAGUUAUCGACUUUGCUGUAUUACAUAGUGUACUUGGUACAUAAUUUAUCAAAAGGGCUCGUGUUACUUUAAAGUUUAACAUCACUUUUGAAUUUCACGAAAGCAGAUAAAAGGUGAAGCUAAAACAUAAAAGCGCUGAAAGACCAAGAAGCAUCUCCUAAAGAGCUGUUGAAUCAGCACGCUGAAGAAGUACAGAGACUGGCGAACAAGCUGGGCGCCGAUAAACUCAGACAGCAGCAAACACUUCAAUUUAGAAUUCUACAAAAUAAGAAAUCUUUCUGAAGCAGCUAGUCCUAGGUGGACGCAAAGAAUUAGGAAGCUUCCAGUAUCGAAGAUUGCCCUCAUCUACGCUGAGCAGGAAGCUGUACAACAACCGGUCUGACAAGUUACAAGUGGUGGACCUACAUCAUCUAGAAUCUAGAUGUACAGUUAACAACUCUACCUCGAUUCGAUGCAGUGGGAGAGGUUGAAGUUGACGUUCGAGCAGUCACCCUGGCGAACAAGAAAUCUUUCAGGCCAAGAGGUUAGGUGACUAGAAACUCAAUCACUAUAUCCGUGAAACUUGUCGGGAGCACUGUUAUUUGUGGAGGUCGGACCGAAACUGUAAUCAGACACUAAACAUUGACGAGGACCAAUUACUCUACUCCUUCAAUGAUUAAUAAAGAUCGCUGAUUGCUUUAACUAAUGCAUAGUGUUAAAAUGAAAGAGAAAUUGUUGAGACGAAAGAGAAAAAGGCACUCAUUUAUUUAUAGUUUUAUGUCUUGACAAUGAUAUUCGAAAGCUAAUUUUAAAAACUGGCUCUGAACCCUUGCUAAAUGAUUUAGGAAGGUGUACGGGAUAAAUAUGCCUGUAGACAUCAUUUUCAGUGGGUUUUAUGAAGUUUAUGAUUAGGGUAUAUUUUGGGACUGAAAUAAGCGCAAGACCUUCGACGUUUCUAUUGCUACUGUUUUUUUAAUUUAGCAAAUAUACAAACAAAUUUUAUACUGUCGUAAAGAUAAAAUAUUUAGUUAUCGGAUAGAGACUUGAAAAUUAAGUAUUACAAUAACCAAGCUAAAAUAUUCAAUGU